This 1562-nucleotide long non-coding RNA is filed under the name Marmota monax (woodchuck). Lineage: Eukaryota; Metazoa; Chordata; Mammalia; Rodentia; Sciuridae. The record is from RNAcentral.
CAGGUUCCAAGCAGUUUCACUCAGGGCCGCGAUCUCACCGCUCCUAACCCUGCCUCUCUGCUGCAAAUGGAGACCAGACACAAGCCUGAAGCCACCAGGACCUUCUGCCUGUUAGGGACUUGAGGGCUGAGGAGCUGAUGGAGGCAACUUGUUCGCUCCCUCAGAGACCAACCUAUCAGGAGGACUCCAAUGGGGCCAAAGGUCUCCCUGGGGGGCACUGGGGUGGUGUUGACAAGGCCUUGGGUUCUUUCCCCAGCACUGCAAAAAAUAAAACGCAAAAGUGAAUGGAAGCUGGGAUAAUGGCGCAAGCCUAUAAUCCCAGCAGCUCAGGAGGCUGAGGCUCAGCAACUUAAUGAGGCCCUAAGCAACUCAGUAAGACCCUAACUCUAAAUAAAAUUAAAAAGGGGCUGGGGAUGUGGGGAUGUGGCUCAGUGGUUAAGUGCCCUUAGGCUCAAUAACCUGGUACCAAAAAGAAGACUGAGACCAAGUGAGGGCAGAUCAAGUUCACCAGCUAGCGAGGGCCAGCGUGAGCCCAGGCUCGUGGCAUGGAGUCCUGCUCUCUGGUCACCGAGUCUGUGCUCCCUCCACCAGCGCUACCCUUUCCUGCUGUUCCACACUGUGGCCCUGGCAAAAGGCAGGGUCCCCCCCCCCUCCAGCAGAGGUCCAUUCAGGACUGUGAAGAUGAAGGCGUGGGACAGGGAAGGCGGGCCCCCUCCCUGGGCCUUCCAGCCCAGGCUUAUCUGUGGCUUCUCCUCCUCAAACCAGACCCUCACCCCAAUGCCACCACCCUCCCCUCUACCUUAGCAACCUGGCCUGCAGCCUGUGCUUGGCUCUGCUUAAGGCCCCUUUCCUUUUUGGGGCCUUCAAGGACCGGAAGGGGCAGGGAAAAGCCACCAGGCUGACCUUGAAGCUGCAAAACUCACCGCUAAAAGGAGCUGCUGGGAAAACAGCCCCGGUGAGCUUCCAGGACCCACUUCAGCUCCAUCUUCCAACUCUUUUUUUUGGGGGGGGGUUGGGGGAGUACUAGGGAUUGAACGUAGGACACUUUACCACUGAGCUACAUUCCCAGCACCACUGCCCCCCCCCCCCGGCUUUUUUUCUUUUGAGACAAGGUCUUGCUGAAUUGCUUAGAGCCUCGCUGAGUCUCUGAGGCCGGCCUUGCACAGUGGUGCACCUCAUGCUUUAAACGUAGUCUUUGCUGCUCUGCCAUUGCAACUGAUUUUCAAAAUGCACACGUUUCUUUCUCCUCCUCUCUCUCUCCUCCUCCCUAAUCUCAGGGGAAACAGAAUUUCCUUUCUUCCCCAUCCUAGGCAGAUUGGUCUUACUUGAGCACACACACACCAUAGCAAGGAAGUAGUCCAGACUUUGGGGAUGGCACCAGAAGAUCUCAGAAAUGACCAUCUCCCAAUUAACAAGUGGAUUCCAACUCCAAAAGAGAACGCGUGGAAUAUAGCCUUUGAAUCACCUCUUUAAAAGUCCCUUGUUCCUGCUGAUGGGCAGAAUCACAGCCUCUGGGGCAGGAGUCCCCUGUGUUUCUCCUUUGCUAGCAAAACAAUAAAUCU